GGACUACAGGGGUUUCUAAUCCUGUUUGCUCCCCUAGCUUUCGUGCCUCAGUGUCAGGUGUUGUCCAGGGACUCGCCUUCGCCACUGGUGUUCCACUUGAUAUCUACGCAUUUCACUGCUACACCAAGUAUUCCAGUCCCCCUUCCAAACCUCGAGCAGAAUAGUAUUCAAUGCAGUUUCCGGGUUAAGCCCGGAGAUUUCACAUCAAACUUACCCCGCCACCUACGCACCCUUUACGCCCAGUGAAUCCGAACAACGCUCGGGACCUCUGUAUUACCGCGGCUGCUGGCAC
This 292-nucleotide ribosomal RNA is filed under the name uncultured Verrucomicrobiota bacterium. RNAcentral's name for it is "uncultured Verrucomicrobia bacterium partial 16S ribosomal RNA". The record is from RNAcentral. Lineage: Bacteria; Pseudomonadati; Verrucomicrobiota.